UUUUGGCCCUAGAAAGUAUCCGUGGUCAAUGACGUACUGCUGGCUACUCAAAGUGACGUUCAUUAACCCUUUCCCUUCCCGGCCGCAGAGCGGGCGGCUUCUAGUGAAGGCUGACCGAUUGUGGAAGUGGAAGGUUGGCUGGCCGGGCUUCUCCUUGUUCUUCAGUCGCUAAGUCGUGUCUGAUUCUCUGUGAUACCAUGAACUGCAGCACGCCAGGCUCCUCUGUCCUCCGCGAUCUCCUGGAGUUCGUUCAGUUGAAUCCUCCAGUGAAAACUCAAGAGGAGAGAAUACAGAACAAGAAUGGCAGAAGGUUCAUUGCAGCACCUAUUAGGCAGAUAGAAUGGGCUCUAUCCUUUCAUCCCAGAGGGAGAAGACCUGGCAGGUUUUCCCGUCUAUUUAAACACCUAGAACUCAGUCACACAGCUGCCCCCAGGACUGGAAGACCAUCAGACAUACUGUUAAACAAGCAUUUGGAUUCCAUUCUUUGUCCAAUACUGUAGUAAAGUUACAGGUAACUUGGCAAAUAUGCUUUCAUCCAGCAGCAGAGAUUUGUUAUUUAAUCCGGUUUAAAACUUAAAACAACUCUAACUAGUAAGCUAAAACUUAAAAUCAUUGUGGUAUCCAAGGUAGUGGAUAUCAAUCUUGGCUACACAUCAGAAUCACCUGUGGACUAAAAAAAAAACCCAACAACAGUAAUUCUGAUUUAAUUAGUCUGAAGUGGGACCUGGCCACUGAGAAUUUGGAAAGUUCCCCCAGAUCACACUAAGGUGUGGCUAAAAUUGAGCUGCUUAUUUAGGGAAUGGAGUUCAAGUUGGUGAUUUGAUUUGAUUUUCCAGUUAAAUGAGGAUUAAACCCUGUAACCUGGUUCCUCUUUUUGUGGUCACCAGAAUUAGAGAAUUAAAUGUAAAGUGUAUUUGUUUCUCUAAGUAGAAUGUCUUAGAUAUAACUGUAUCUCUCUUAUUGCUUGAGACCUCCUGCAGUGAGUUAACAUCAUUACAUACUGAAAAUGGUUUAAAUUUGAACUAUAAGCUUUCAAAUGUAUUCCAGAAAA
Molecule: non-coding RNA, 1051 nt
Organism: Odocoileus virginianus texanus
Lineage: Eukaryota; Metazoa; Chordata; Mammalia; Artiodactyla; Cervidae
Source: RefSeq, a predicted model, not a curated record